CCUACGGGUGGCAGCAGUGAGGAAUAUUGGUCAAUGGACGAGAGUCUGAACCAGCCAAGUAGCGUGAAGGAUGCCUGCCCUAUGGGUUGUAAACUUCUUUUAUAUGGGAGUAAAAUGUUCCACGUGUGGGAUUUUGUAUGUACACUAUGAAUAAGGAUCGGCUAACUCCGUGCCAGCAGCCGCGGUAAUACGGGGGAUCCGAGAGUUAUCCGGAUUUAUUGGGUUUAAAGGGAGCGUAGGUGGAUUGUUAAGUAAGUUGUGAACGUUUGCGGCUCAACCGUAAAAUUGCAGUUGAAACUGGAAGUCUUGAGUACAGGAGAGGUGGGCGGAAUUCGUGGUGUAGCGGUGAAAUGCUUAGAUAGCACGAAGAACUCCGAUUGCGAAGGCAGGUGACUGGACUGCAACUGACGCUGAAGCACGAAAGCGUGGGUAUCGAACAGGAUUAGAUACCCUUGUAGUC
This 460-nucleotide ribosomal RNA is filed under the name uncultured bacterium. Its description in RNAcentral is "partial 16S ribosomal RNA". It matches the Rfam family "Bacterial small subunit ribosomal RNA", at positions 338 to 795 of the family's 1533-position model. The record is from RNAcentral.